RNAcentral lists this ribosomal RNA (2077 nucleotides) under Clostridiaceae bacterium. Its description in RNAcentral is "partial 23S ribosomal RNA". It matches the Rfam family "Bacterial large subunit ribosomal RNA", at positions 1 to 2073 of the family's 2925-position model. Lineage: Bacteria; Bacillati; Bacillota; Clostridia; Eubacteriales; Clostridiaceae. The record is from RNAcentral.
AAAGCUACAAAGAGCUUACGGGGGAUGCCUUGGCGCUGAAUGCCGAAGAAGGACGUGGGACACUGCGAAAAGCCUGGGGGAGCUGUGAACGAGCGCCGAUCCCGGGAUGUCCGAAUGGGGAAACCCGGCAGAGAGGACCUCUGUCAUCAAUACAUGAACAAGAUAGUGUAUUGAAGGGAACCUGGGGAACUGAAACAUCUAAGUACCCGGAGGAAAAGAGAAGAUUCCCAAAGUAGUGGCGAGCGAAAUGGGAGAAGCCCAAACCAAGAGGGGUUGAACCCUCGAGGGGUAGUAGGAUCAGAGAGAAAGUGAAAAAAGCCUGGAGAUAGCAGAAAGGUCUGGGAAGGCCUGGCGGAGAGGGUGAGACCCCCGUACGCGAAAUUGAAGGGACACAAUCUGACACCUGAGUAGUGCCGUGCACGCUAAUACGGCAUGAAGCUGGGGAGACCACUCUCCAAGGCUAAACACAUUCAGCGACCGAUAGUGAAGAAGUACCGUGAGGGAAAGGUGAAAAGUACCCCGAACAGGGGAGUGAAAAAGAACCUGAAACCGUGAGCUUACAAGCAGUCGGAGGGCGAUGGUGGCGACACCGUGCCUGACGGCGUGCCUCUUGGAGAAUGAGCCUGCGAGUUAAUUGAUGUGGCGAGGUUAAGGGAGAGAAACCUGGAGCCGAAGCGAAAGCGAGUCUGAAUAGGGCGUAGAGUCGCAUUGAUUAGACACGAAACUGGAUGAGCUAACCAUGGGCAGGAUGAAGCGGGAAUAAGAUCUCGUGGAGGUCCGAACCUUUCAACGCUGCAAAGUUGAGGGAUGACCUGUGGUUAGGGGUGAUAUGCCAAACGAAUUCAGAGAUAGCUUGUUCUCCCCGAAAUAGUUUUAGGACUAGCGUGGACGAUGGACAACCGGAGGUAGAGCACUGAAUGGGCAAGGGGGUCAAAGACUUACCGAACCCAAAUAAACUCCGAAUGCCGGGAUGUUGAACGUCUGCAGUCGGACUGCGGGUGAUGAGAUUCGUAGUCGAGAGGGAAACAGCCCAGACCAUCGGCUAAGGUCCCGAAGUGUAUGCUAAGUGGGAAACGAUGUGGAGUUACAGAGACAACCAGGAGGUUCGCUCAGAAGCAGCAAUCCUUUAAAGAGUGCGUAAUAGCUCACUGGUCAAGUGAUUCUGCGCGGAAAACGUAACGGGGCUAAGCAUACCACCGAAGCCAUGGGCUUUGUCUGAAGAAGACAGAGCGGUAGGGGAGCGUUCUGAGAGCGGAGAAGGUACACUGGGAAGAGUAUUGGAGCGAUCAGAAGUGAGAAUGCAGGCAUGAGUAGCGAAAAACAUGUGAGAACCAUGUUCGUUGAAAAUCCAAGGUUUCCGACGUCAAGUCAAUCUGCGUCGGGUUAGUCGGGGCCUAAGGCGAGGCCGGGAGGCGUAGUCGAUGGACAACUGGUUAAUAAUCCAGUACCGAUGUUGAGGAGUGAAGGGGGGACACAAUGAGGGGGUCCAGCCUGUUAGUGGAUUCAGGUGGAUGAACGUCAGGCGAAGAAGCAGUGGAAGAAAAGACACAGCUGAGCUGAGGGAAAUCAGGAGGCGCGAGCUAGAACUGAGACGGACCUUAUUGUCAAGAAAAACCUCUAAGCGAAGAGACAACAUUGCCCGUACCGGAAACCGACACUGGUGGAUAAGUAGAGAAUACUAAAACGAACGGGAGAACUAUCGUUAAGGAACUAGGCAAAAUAGCCCCGUAACUUAGGGAGAAGGGGUGCUCACCUUUUUGAUAAAUAGGGAGGGUGAGUCGCAGUGAAAGGGCUCUAGUGACUGGUUAUCAAAACCACAGGUCUCUGCGAAGUCGAAAGACGAAGUAUAGGGGCUGACGCCUGCCCAGUGCCGGAAGGUUAAGGGGAAAGGUUAGACGGAAGUCGAAGCUCAGAACCGAAGCCCCGGUGAACGGCGGCCGUAACUAUAACGGUCCUAAGGUAGCGAAAUUCCUUGUCGGGUAAGUUCCGACCCGCACGAACGGCGUAACAACUAGAGCACUGUCUCAACGAUAGACCCGGUGAAAUUGAAAUGGCUGUGAAGAUGCGGCCUACCCGC